RNAcentral lists this ribosomal RNA (253 nucleotides) under uncultured bacterium. RNAcentral's name for it is "partial 16S ribosomal RNA". It matches the Rfam family "Bacterial small subunit ribosomal RNA", at positions 524 to 776 of the family's 1533-position model. The record is from RNAcentral.
UACGAAGGGGGCUAGCGUUGCUCGGAAUCACUGGGCGUAAAGCGCACGUAGGCGGAUUCUUAAGUCGGAGGUGAAAUCCUGGAGCUUAACUCCAGAACUGCCCCCGAUACUGGGAGUCUUGAGUUCGAGAGAGGUGAGUGGAACUGCGAGUGUAGAGGUGAAAUUCGUAGAUAUUCGCAAGAACACCAGUGGCGAAGGCGGCUCACUGGCCCGAUACUGACGCUGAGGCACGAAAGCGUGGGGAGCAAACAGG